This is a small nuclear RNA of Oryctolagus cuniculus (rabbit), 102 nucleotides long. Lineage: Eukaryota; Metazoa; Chordata; Mammalia; Lagomorpha; Leporidae. The record is from Ensembl.
GACACAUCAACUAGACAUAUACUAAAAUUGGAACAACACAGAGAACACUAGCAUGGCCUUGCAAAGAAUGACCUAAAAAUUCAUGAAGCACUCCAUAUUUUU